GAUGAAAGUCUUUCUUAUUGGGAAUCAAGAUGGAUUGCUGUCUUGAAAUUACUGGACUGAACAAUGGCUUAAGGCUUUUCUAGAGGAGGACCCUGGGAACCCACACACUUUCUUGGAGGACAUAAUCUCUUCAUGGAGGUUUGAAAUAGGAUAAGGAAUGUUCUACCUUGCUGCUUCUACAUCUGCUUCAUUUAUCUCUUCUCUAAUUUUCCUAUCAAAUUUUUAGUGGAGUCUAGUUGUGUAUUUGAUCCCCAUAAAAGGAUCAUCCCUUCCAUGCACAGGGGAGGGUAAUCUAUGAAAAGAAAGGCUACUUUUCUCCCUUCUGUGAUUCCACCACCAGUCUAGGAAUAUCCUGGGAGAAUUGCAUCUCAAAGCUUUCCAUAAGCAGCCUACAUCCUGUCUAAGCAAAGGGAGAAGAAACACUUCCCACAUCCAGGGCUGUCCAAAAGAACUUUCUGUGAUGACAGAAAUGUUCUAUAUCUGCAUUAAUAUGGUAGCCACUAGCCACGUGUGGCUAGUGAAUAUUCGAAAUAUGGCUAGUGUGAUUGAGGAAGUAAAUUCUAAUUUUAUUUAAUUUUAAAUAAUUUAAAUAUAAAUAGCCACAUGUGGCUAGUGGCUGUUGUAUUGUAGAGCAUAGUACACACCUUUCUCGUGUUUUAGAACUUGCUGGGAGAGGUUUGAACAAGUCAUAUACAUGGCGUUCCAUGGUCUUCACUGUUCCACCUUGCCAUUGAACUUGUCUCCCAGAGGAAAAAGAAAUAUGGUAUUUUGGAGCUAAAUUGAAGAUGUUAAUUGAACAUCUACACAUUGAAGUAUGUAUUCUUGUGUAAAUGGGAUGAUCUCCUGGGAAUAGGACCUGCGAUUGAUGUUAGUGAUUACUGAUGAUGGGAAACUGGUAGUGCUGGUCCAGUUAACAUCUCUAGUAUGUUCCUGGUUAGAAUGAGUCAGCAAAGAUUAUUUUAUUCUAUUGUGCGGUUCAUUCUGUGUUACUUUAUUUUUGUAUUAUUAUGACUGCUAAGUGAUUAUUCUGUGUCUGUUUUUCAAAAUGCUCUAUGGUUUAUAUUUUUUAAAAGGUUAUGAAAUAAAAAGUAAUUAUAUGUAACU
This 1104-nucleotide long non-coding RNA is filed under the name Sus scrofa (pig). RNAcentral's name for it is "lncRNA (ENSSSCG00030049347.1)". Lineage: Eukaryota; Metazoa; Chordata; Mammalia; Artiodactyla; Suidae. The record is from RNAcentral.